UUGCAUCUUUAAAAACCCCCCAGUUGCCAUAUGUGGCCUCUGGCACAAGAAAAGGUGCAAGAUCAAUCUUAGAACAUCCAAAACUGAGAGCCACUUGUCACGCUCCAGGUUAUUUCACCUCUAAGACACAA
Molecule: small nucleolar RNA, 131 nt
Organism: Doryrhamphus excisus (bluestripe pipefish)
Lineage: Eukaryota; Metazoa; Chordata; Actinopteri; Syngnathiformes; Syngnathidae
Product: small nucleolar RNA SNORA14
Source: RefSeq, a predicted model, not a curated record